UACAGAGGUCCCAAGCGUUGUUCGGAUUCACUGGGCGUAAAGGGUGCGUAGGUGGCUUGGUAAGUUUGAUGUGAAAUCUCCGGGCUUAACCCGGAAAUGGCAUUGAAUACUAUUGAGCUGGAGGUUUGGAGGGGGGACUGGAAUUCUCGGUGUAGCAGUGAAAUGCGUAGAUAUCGAGAGGAACACCAGUGGCGAAGGCGAGUCCCUGGACAACACCUGACACUGAGGCACGAAAGCUAGGGGAGCAAAUAGG
This 253-nucleotide ribosomal RNA is filed under the name uncultured bacterium. Its description in RNAcentral is "partial 16S ribosomal RNA". It matches the Rfam family "Bacterial small subunit ribosomal RNA", at positions 524 to 776 of the family's 1533-position model. The record is from RNAcentral.